GAUGAACGCUGGCGGCGUGCCUAAUACAUGCAAGUCGAGCGAACAGACGAGGAGCUUGCUCCUCUGACGUUAGCGGCGGACGGGUGAGUAACACGUGGAUAACCUACCUAUAAGACUGGGAUAACUUCGGGAAACCGGAGCUAAUACCGGAUAACAUGUUGGACCGCAUGGUUCAACAGUGAAAGACGGUCUUGCUGUCGCUUAUAGAUGGAUCCGCGCCGGAUUAGCUAGUUGGUAAGGUAACGGCUUACCAAGGCAACGAUGCGUAGCCGACCUGAGAGGGUGAUCGGCCACACUGGAACUGAGACACGGUCCAGACUCCUACGGGAGGCAGCAGUAGGGAAUCUUCCGCAAUGGGCGAAAGCCUGACGGAGCAACGCCGCGUGAGGGAAGAAGGUCUUCGGAUCGUAAAACUCUGUUAUUAGGGAAGAACAAAUGUGUAAGUAACUAUGCACGUCUUGACGGUACCUAAUCAGAAAGCCACGGCUAACUACGUG
This 497-nucleotide ribosomal RNA is filed under the name uncultured bacterium. RNAcentral's name for it is "partial 16S ribosomal RNA". It matches the Rfam family "Bacterial small subunit ribosomal RNA", at positions 28 to 507 of the family's 1533-position model. The record is from RNAcentral.